Spodoptera frugiperda (fall armyworm) is the source of this 3964-nucleotide RNA transcript. RefSeq lists it as uncharacterized. The record is from RefSeq and is a predicted model, not a curated record. The transcript is spliced from 10 exons. Lineage: Eukaryota; Metazoa; Arthropoda; Insecta; Lepidoptera; Noctuidae.
AAUAUCAAUGACAAUGUUACAUCAUAUUGUCACAGAGACAGCGUGUAAUGUUGUUGUUAAUAUUAUUAUGAAUAUGAAUAGGAAUAUGGUAUUAAUUCAUUGAUAUUGAUAUUAUUUUGAUUAAGACGAUGAGUAGAAUAUAUGGAAAUACGUACAAUUCUAAUAAAUACGUAUUUUGUUGUUUUUAUUGCAAACGAAAAUUGAGAUGUUAGGUGGUCAUCGGUUGGCGAUUCUGUUUUGACAUCAAGUGAGCAUCCAGAAGUAUCAUAUCAUACAACAUAAAUUAGAAAAACAGCCGACCGAUUCGUCACCGGAACCGUGUCCCCGCCGGUAGAGUGCACAGCGGACGUAGGUUUCAGACGUUAGUGCGUGCAGAGUGCGCCACUCGCCAGCGAUGUCAGUGUGGCAGAGCGAGGAGGCGCGCUGCGCGGUGGUGCUGCGCGAGGUGCUGGCGUGGCUGGCGGGCGCGGAGCUGGCGCGGGCGGGCGCCGUGUGCCGCGCCUGGGCGCGCGCCGCCAGCGACCCCGCGCUGUGGCGCCGCCUGCUGCUGCGGGACGCGCUGCUGCCGCUGCCGCGCGUCCCCGGCGCGCGCUGGCGGCACGAGUACGUGCGCGCGCACGCGGGCUGGCGGCUGGGGGCGCGCCACGCCGCGGGCGCCAGCCUGCUGCACGCCGCGCUGGCCUGGGGGCGCGGGGGCGCGCGCCUGGCGCUGGGCUGCGACGACGCCAGCGUGGCCGUGUGGGCGCGCGGGCCGCGCGGCUGGGAGGAGCGGGGCGCGCGGCGCUGCGGGGGCGCGGCUGGGCCGCCGUGGCGCGCGUGCAGUGGCCGGCGGUGGGCGCCGCUCGUCUCCUGGUGGCGGGUCCGCUGGCGCUAGUGGAUGACUGGGAGUUGCUCGUGCUCUCUGUUGAAGAGGACGGUGCGUUGGGCGCUGUGGCCAGCCGCGUCCGCUGCAGCGCGGGCGCCGCGGGCUGCUGGGCCGACCCGCUCGGACACACCUUCUGCUCGCUGGAGCUGCGCCGCCUCGGGCCCGGCCUGUACUGCACCACCGUCUGGCUCAACACUGCCACGCAGGAAACGGAAUCUGAAUAUGAAGGAGUGACAUCACCAUUGCUGAGAAUUUUCAACGAAGAAGGCCAGCAUUUGACGCACGCGGCCGUGGCGCGCGCCGAGCCGCGCCUGCUGCUGGCGGGCGGCGGCCGGCGCCUGGCCGCGUGGCGCGUGUGGGCGCCGCGCCCCGCGCGCCUCGAGGCCAGCGCGGCCGGCGACCUGGCGGCGCGCGUGCGGCGCCUGCGCGCGCUGCGGGCCGCGCCCGCGCCCGAGGAGCCCGAGCCGGACGAGGAGACCGUGCGCGCGGCGUGCGCCCCCGCCGUGGCCUGCUGCCGCCUGCCGGCGCCGCUCGUGGGCCUGGCGCUGGACGAGCGGUCAGUUCUGACUACUUACUCGUAUCACUGGGGCAGUGCGUGUGGGCGGCGUGCAGUGACGGCGGCGCGGCCUGCGUGUCGCUGGCGCUGCAGCCGCUGGUGUACGUGCGCGGCGCGCUGGGCCCCGCGCCCCCGCUCGCCCCCGCGCCUCCGCCCCCGCCCGCCGCGCACUACAUGCAGCCUGCGGCGGCUGAGCACCUCGCUGCAUGGUCGCUGGGCCCGUACAGCGCGGCGGUGCGCGUGUGUGCGACGCGGACGUGCGCGGGGAGCGCGGUGCUGACGCACGCGGCGCCCGCCGUGUGCUGCGUGCUGGCGGCGGCGGACGGCGCGGACGGCGCGGCCGACUUGUCGCCCGACGGGUCUCGCGAUGGGUCUACCGACUCGUUGCCCGACUUGCUGGUUUUGGCCGGCGAUGAAGUCUACUAUCAAACAAAUACAAAACCGAGUGGCCGCGGGACACAUCGCGAGGGCCGCGCCAGUGGCCGGGCCGCAGUACUGUACACACACGACAUGGCGCUACUCGUCCCACUGCGGGCGGCGCGCGCGACCCUCGGCGCGGGGCGCGAGGCUAUAGGCGCGGGGUGCGAGGCGCUGGGCGCGGGGCGCGCGCGCGGCAGCCUGGCGGCCGGCGGCGGCUCGUGCGGCGGGCGCGAGGUGCCGGUGUGCGCGCCCUGCGCCGCGUCCCGGCCGCCCGCGUGCCGCGGGGACUCGCUCGCCCCCCGCACCGCGCAGCGCGUCGUGUGCUGCCCGCCCCCGCAGGGCCAGCGGCCGCCGUGCGCGCCGCGCGACCCGCCGUGCUCGCUCUCCUGCCUCGAUGCAGUCGACCAGAAUCCGGAAUCUUCAAAACGACCGAAUCAUAUAGAUCCAUGUCGAGACACGUUCAACAUUGGCGGAUGUGACCAAGACCCUGUUGCGCUAAGACUGAGGCUCGCUAAAUGCGUGCAGGAAGCUGCGUAUUGGCAGGAGGUAGCAGAGCGCGCGUGCCGCGAGCCGCCGCGAGCCCCGCGCGCCGACUACUGCCUGCACGGCCAGCAGGAGUGCGCGCGCGCCACGGACGGCUGCACGUACGCCGUGCUGCCGCCCAGCGAGUGCGCGCCUGCGCCCCCGCGCUGUGGCCCCGGGCGCACGCCGCCGCCGCCGCGCUGCGUGGAGCUGGCGCCUGACGACGCUUGCCGUAUCCGUGACGACGCGCACCUCGACCCGUGCGCGCACCGCCCGCGCAUUAUGAUAGAGAUCGACCGCGGUGCCAGCGCCGCGUGCCCCCCGCCCGGCACCGUGUGCCCGCCGCCCGGCACGGUGUGCCCGCCGCCCGGCACCAACCGCCCCCCGCCCGGCACCGUGUGCCCCCCGCCCGGCACCGUGUGCCCCCCGCCCGGCACCAAGCCCCUCCCGCCCGGCACCGUGUGCCCACCGCCCGGCACCGUGUGCCCCCCGCCCGGCACCGUGUGCCCGCCGCCCGGCACCAACCGCCCCCCGCCCGGCACCGUGUGCCCGCCGCCCGGCACCAACCGCCCCCCGCCCGGCACCGUGUGCCCCCCGCCCGGCACCGUGUGCCCGCCGCCCGGUACUGUGUGCCCGCCGCCCGGCACCGUGUGCCCCCCGCCCGGCACCGUGUGCCCCCCGCCCGGCACCGUGUGCCCUCCGCCCGGCACCAACCGCCCCCGCCCGGCACCGUGCCCGCCCGGCACCGUGUGCCCGCCGCCCGGCACCAACCGCCCCCCGCCCGGCACCGUGUGCCCGCCGCCCGGCACCAACCGCCCCCCGCCCGGCACCGUGUGCCCCCCGCCCGCUAGUGGCUGCGAGGACCCUGUACCGAGGUGGUGUGCCAACCCGCCCCCGCUAGCUCCUGCGCCGCCUCGAUGUCGCCGGCCUUCAAUUUUGGAAAGACUUCGGGCUCGUCCUCCGGAAUCUCCCAAUGAAAGACGAAUUCAUACAUCAAUAAUAUUGUCUAAAGCAAAGAACUGUUCUAAAUCUAAAACUACUGCAGGUGGCUUACAAAAUAUGCUCCGUUCAAAGCAACAGCUAAACGAAGCCGGGCUCGGGCGCGUUGUGGUUUGUAAUGAAGCAGGGCGUAGCGAGCAGAAGGCUCCCGGCGGCAGGCUGGAGCUGAGCGUGCCGGCGGGGACGCGGCGCGUGGCAGUGUUGGUGUCGCUGGAGGGCGCCACUGGCGGCGCCUGCCCCCCACUGCCUGCGCCCCAGCUGUGUGCGCCACCCGCGGCACCCGUAUGCGAUAACAAACCUUCCUUCUGUACUAAAACUUCUACGACUUCUGCGAGACCGGAUUCUUGGCUUUCGAUAAAACAAAUUCAGAAAAAAUUGAACCGAUGCGGAGAGAGCUCCUCCGAUGUAAAAGCUAGCUCGCGCAGCCCCGGCCGCAGACACGGGACCAUGGCUCCGAGCGCGCCCCAGAAGCCGACCCCCCCCGCCACCCGCUGCUCCUCAACGUCGGCUCUCUUCGCAACCACUGUCGGAGUUGGCUCCGUCUAGAAUCGAAUACAGUCGUGUGUGUAUUAUUUUUUAAUAAAAUAAUUUUGCUUGAAGAA